Molecule: ribosomal RNA, 799 nt
Filed under: uncultured incertae sedis 5 bacterium
Lineage: Bacteria
Description: bacterial SSU rRNA
Rfam family: Bacterial small subunit ribosomal RNA
Source: RNAcentral
GGGGAAGCUACUUCGGUAUUGAAUUAGCGGCGAACGGGUGAGGAACACGUGAGGAAUCUGGCUUCAACACGGGGAUAACUCCGGGAAACCGGGGCUAAUACCGGAUAUGAGCUCUGAUCGCAUGGUCGGGGCUGGAAAGUCUUUCGGUGGAAGAUGACCUCGCGGCCUAUCUUCUUGUUGGUGAGGGGGUGGCUCACCAAUGCUACNACCUCUANCCAGCCUGAGAGGACUACCAGCCACACUGGAACUGAGAGACUGUCCAGACUCCUACGGGAGGCAGCAGUGGGGAAGUUUGGACAAUGGGCGCAAGCCUGAUCCAGCCAUUCCGCGUGCAGGAUGAAGGCCCUCGGGUUGUAAACUGCUGUUGUACAGAACGAAAAGGUUUCUAGUAAUACUAGGAGCUCAUGACGGUACUGUAAGAAUAAGCACCGGCUAACUACGUGCCAGCAGCCCCGGUAAUACGUAGGGUGCAAGCGUUAAUCGGAAUUACUGGGCGUAAAGCGUGCGCAGCCGGUUAUAUAAGUCAGAUGUGAAAUCCCCGGGCUCAACCUGGGAACUGCAUUUGAGACUGUAUAGCUAGAGUACGGCAGAGGGGGAUGGAAUUCCGCGUGUAGCAGUGAAAUGCGUAGAUAUGCGGAGGAACACCGAUGGCGAAGGCAAUCCUCUGGGCCUGUACUGACGUUCAUGCACGAAAGCGUGGGGAGCAAACAGGAUUAGAUACCCUGGUAGUCCACGCCCUAAACGAUGUCAACUGGUUGUUGGGUCUUAAUUGACUCAGUAACGAAGCUAACGCGUGAAG